UGCACAGGAUCCCAUUUCUUACCUCCCGGAUUAAAAAGCAGAGAAAUUCACUAAUAGGCAAAAAAAACUUUAGAGUUUAAGAACAUACCUAUUGUUAUGUGCCUUCAGGUGGAUUACAACUCAUGGCGACCCUAUGAAUCAGUGACCUUCAAGAGCAUCUGUCAUGAACCACCCUGUUCAGAUCUUGUAAGUUCAGGAAGUUCUGUUUUCUCCCAUAAUUCAUGGUGCCAUGACUCAGAUAGCCAAGUUCACUAGAGAACAAUCAGUCUGGACCAUCCACCACUGACUUCCCAGCGCCACCCCUAGAGGUAACAAAGGUUUGGAACAGUUAAGAAAUGUUUGUUGGCAAACAGAUUAACUAAAGUGACAGCAAGAGAAUGUGUUAAUUCCAACAGCUCAAUUCCCUCUUCUUCCACUCUCUGGAGCAGACUUGAAAUCAGUAAAUAAUUGCAAAGCAAGCUUCAAGGCUGGGCAAAUGGGGAGCGUCAUCCACCAGCUACCCCUCCUUUCCCCAGCUCACUUUUAAAACAGCAUGGUUGUAUUUCUAUUUUUAAUUGGCUCUAAAUAACGUAUGGGUAUACAAAUUGGAUAAAUUUUAAAGUUUGCAUUGGGCUCGUCUUUGACUACAAGCGCACCUGAUGCUGGCACCAUGAUAUGGGAAUUCCAGAGCAACUUUUCAUGUGCAGCACUCUGUGCAUGAUAUCUGAUAUCUGAAUCUGAUAUCGGAAGAAGAAGAGGAAAGCAGCAGCCAACAUAAAGAGGGAGAAUGGCAAAGAAAAUGAUCAGGAAAAGCAACUCGCAAACGACUUAAUGCAGUGGAAGAGAGAGAAAAUUAGCAAGAAAUAGCAGGCACGUUACAAAAUGCAUAGGAGGCAUCCCAAUUAAUCUUACAAACUCAUUCUUUACCGCAAGAAGAGUACUCAUUUUAAGAAACGACAACAAGUUUUGUGGUAUUAAUUAUAUGCGAACAAGUAUGUGUAUACGCAGGAGUGUAUAAUCUAUGAUUGUAUGUGAACAUACAUGUGUGUAUUUAUGAGCUGGCAGAAUGGGGAGGAAUUAUAUAUUGGGGACAUGGUUCCCAAUGGUUCUUUCUCUUUUUACUCCCUGAAUUUCAGGGAGAAGUCUCUGGGGGGAAGUAAAAGGUAGUGAGAAAUGUUAUUGUUAAAGUUUUAUGAAUUAAAUUGUAAUAUUAUAUACGUUAAAGGUUCUCCCCUGCAGGAGAUAGUGUGAUAACACACUGGGUAAAAGCCAGAGUCUCACACCUGUUGGUGUGGGUGCAGUCUCAGCAGAUUUACUGGACUGCAUCAGGCAGAUCCCACAUUAUUUAGUAGGUAAUUGUUUUAUUUAUUUAUUUAUUAUUUGAUUUAUAUCCCGCCCUUCCUCCCAGCAGGAGCCCAGGGCGGUUAUGGUAAAGGUUGAAAGGAGAAAAGUUGGGGAGGAAGGGGAGUUAGAGGCAAUGGCGAUAUUUCAAGGUAAAGAGAAUUUAUUAUAUUUUAGUUUGGGUAUUCAUAAAGCAAUAGUUGUCAAAAUUCUUAAAUGGCUUAAAAAUAGUACCUUUAAAUGUAAAAGGUUUGGGAAGUGUAAUAAAAAGAAAGAGAAUAACUUCCUAUAUUAGAAAAAUGCACCCCAUGGUGACUCUCUUACAGGAGGUACAUACAAUUAAAAAUAGAGAGUCUUUGCUCAAUCAUAGAUACUUUGGGGAGAAAUAUGUAGCACCAGGCACUUCAAAAGCAAGAGGAGUGGCUAUAAUCUUUAAAGCAAAUUUCCCCUUUAUUGUAGAAAAGGUUUGGAAAACCCAGGAGGUAAUUUCCUCUUCAAAAAGAGAUUGUUUAAUGGUACAGAAUAUUAUACAAUUGGCACAAUUUAUGCACCUAAUAAAGGACAAAUUAAAUUCUUAUCCACCUGCUUUAAAAAACUUAAUUUCAAAAAGGACAAUUGAUAAUAGGUGGUGAUUUCAACAUCAGUCUUAGAGACAUGAUCAAAAGGGAAAGAAAGUAUCUCAGAAAAAAUGUGAUAAACAACUCUCUCCCUGAUGAGGUACGCCUUGCGCCAACAUUGCUGUCCUUCCGGCGCCAGGUAAAACCCUUUUUGUUCUCCCAGGCAUUUUAACAUUUUAACAUUGUUUUACAUCUAUUUUAACACCUACAUUUACACUUACGAUCUUAAUAUUUUAGUAAUUUUAAUUACUUAACAUCUUAACAUCUUAAUACUUUUAACUGAUUUAAUAUGCUUUUAAUAUUUUCAGGCUUGUGUUGUAGUUGUUUAUAUAUUUAAUUAUGUUUUGCUACUUUUGGUGUAUUGUUUUUAAGUUGUUUGAUAUAUGUUUUUAACUGUAUAUUGGAUGUUUUAUGUUGUGCACCGCCCAGAGAGCUUCGGCUAUGGGGCGGUAUAGAAAUAUAAUAAAUAAAUAAAUAAAUAAAUAAAAAUGUGCAGCCAUCCUUAAAAGGUUAAUUUAAAAGACACAUUGGCUGAAUUACACCCAUAGGAUAACAGCUUCACCUUUUUCUCAACAACCUCUCAAUCUCACUCCAGGUUAGACAGCAUCCUUGUCACAGCAGAUUAACACCCAUCUUUAAUUAAUGUAGAAAUAGGAACAAUAAGAAUUGCAGAUCAUGGCCCAGUCUCUAUAACUAUGGAUAGUAUGCAAUUUGAGACCCUUUGAUUGGAAACUGAGCCCCAUAUUACUCACUAUGCCAACGAGUAGAGAAGGGAUUCAAAUGCUUUAAAUAAUUACUUCAAAGAAAAUGACACUCCAGGAAUGCCAAUUAGAAUGCAAUGGGAAGCUAUGAAAGCAGUAACAAGGGGAAUUUGCAUAAAGGGAUUACAUGAAAUCAAAACCAGACAUAAUUUGCAAAUUAAUAAAUUAAAUAAUGAGAUUAAAAAUUUAUUUCAAAGAUAUGGAAAAUCAGGCUCUAAACAAAUUUAUAAACAAUUAAAAAGAAAGCACAAAGAAUUAGACCUUUUGGAAUUUAAUAAAAUUAUGGUUAACAUGCUAUAUACUCAACAAAGAUUCUGUGAGUUUGGGAGCAGGGGAUCAUGAUUAUUGGCAAAUAGGAUUAAGCAAAAACAUAGAAAAUGCAUGAUAACUACAGUACAAAAGAAGGAUGGUUCAAUAACCUGUUCACCAACAGAAAUUGGAGAAACAUUUGCUGCUUUUUAAAAGAACCUAUAUCAGGCAGUUGGACUUGAUGGCCUUAUAGGCCCCUUCUAACUCUACUAUUCUAUGAAAGCAGUGGUGUAGACAUUAUUAUUAUUGCAUUUAUAUCCCACUUUUUCUCCAAGGAGCUCAAAGUAGCAUACAUGGUUCUCCCCCUCAUAAUUUAAUCCCCACAACAACUCUGUGAGUUAGGUUAGGCUAACUGACAGAUUCCUAUAGACCCAUAGCAUUGCUGAACAUAGAUUACAAAAUAUUUACCUCAAUUAUAGCUAACAGAUUGAAUCAUAUAAUUCAAUGAUUGAUCCAUUCGGACCAAACUGGAUUCGUACCAGAUAGACAAACUGCUGAUCCCAUCAGAAGAAUUCUAAAUUUAAUCAACUAUUGUAAAACUAAUCAACUCCCUUUAGCCUUCCUUUGUUUAGAUAUUUUCAAAGCAUUUGAUUAUGUACACUGGCCCUUUUUAAUUUCAGUAGCACAAGCAAUGAAUUUAUAACACUCCUACAGAAAAUUUACUCCCCAACAACUGCAACCAUCAAAAUCAACGCAUUAGACUCACCUUAUAUUGACAUAAACCGAGGUACCAAACAAAGAUGUCUGCUGUCACCUCUUCUACUCCUCCUGGCAUUAGAACCGAUGGCACAGCAUCUAAGGAAUAAUAAAAAAAUAAAGGGAGUUAGAAUUGGAACUGCAACACACUUACUUAGUAUGUAUGCAGAUGAUACAGCCCUAUUUAGUACAAAUCCACUAGAAGCUGCUCCCAAUAUUUAGGGUGCUUUGGAAACAUUUGCAAAUGCCUCCGGACUUCUGGUGAAUCUUAAAAAAUCCGAGGCACUAUGUUUUCACAUGCCCCCUGCAGUCCAGAGAUAAUUCCCAUCUGUUCUAGGGAUACCUUUAUGUCCAAGACAGUUGAGAUAGGCAUACAAAUACAUAAACAUUUGAACAGAUUAUUUUUAGCUAAUUACAGACCCUUAUGGUACACCAUAAAGGCUGAUAUGAAUAGGUGGACUGUGAUGUUCCUGCUUAUAGUGUAAAUAUGGAAAGUGCUGUUUAUAUAGAAGACAUAUGGUAAGUGGAGUGAAAGAGGAGGGGAGAGUACAUGAGCAGUAGAAUGCUGGAUGAUUGGCUGAGCGUUUGAAUGGCUGGGAGUAUAAAUGGAAGAAUGACAGUUGAAUCUGGGUGGAUGUUAGUAGGGUGGAGAAGAAGGUGUUUGGUGGUGGAUGUUGGGAGUGUGGAGAAAGAGGUGUUUGA
Molecule: long non-coding RNA, 4405 nt
Organism: Rhineura floridana
Lineage: Eukaryota; Metazoa; Chordata; Lepidosauria; Squamata; Rhineuridae
Exons: 3
Source: RefSeq, a predicted model, not a curated record